This is a long non-coding RNA of Colias croceus (clouded yellow), 721 nucleotides long. RefSeq lists it as uncharacterized. The transcript has 2 exons. The record is from RefSeq and is a predicted model, not a curated record. Lineage: Eukaryota; Metazoa; Arthropoda; Insecta; Lepidoptera; Pieridae.
AUUUUUUUUAUUGUUGUCAUUACAAUUAGUGAUCAAUACGGUACCUCCGUGCAGUGUUAUUAUUUUCCUGUUGUUGAAACAUAAGAGGAUUACUUUGGACAAUGCCGCGCAUUUAUAAACCUGAACCUGGAGGCUUAUGGCCCGCUCCAAGUUUGAACUCUCAACCAAUGAGAGCGCCAAACGUGGUCGAUGUGUAUAAUUAAGUCUAUCGUAAUGACAUGGUAGAGGUUCUGGAUUUUAAUGCGCUUUAACCAGCGUCAAGUUUUAUGGGAUUGUGAAAUCUCUUUAUACUAAAAGUGUACUAUCAUGUGACAUCAUUCGAAGUCUUGUUGUUGUAUCAUCCUCAUUUUUAUUUGUGACAAAAUAAAAAUACGUUGUUACACUAUGUUUUGAUAAUCUAACUGACAGACUAAACAUAAUUUUUCAGUAAAAUCCACUUAUGUUUAUAAAAAGUUUUUUUUUUGUAUGGGUGAUUUGCCCUAAUUGUUUUUGCAUUGUUCAUAAUAUAAUUAACUAUCCCUGUUCUGUUUUUUUAAAGUUGAUGGUACUUACUUUAUUAAAUAAUUUGUAGGUAUAUGUACUAAGUACCUACAUAAAUAAAUUUUGACAACCCUGGCAUUUUUUUCUAUUGACCCCCUUUUCGUCUCCAUUCACCCAUAUCGCGGGUAAAUAGAAAACAUGCACAUAUUGUGAUUUAUUAAAUAAAUGACGAGGAAAUUAA